GAACUGGUGAGUUAAAGUGUAAGCUGCUGCAUGGGUACGUUCUGCCUCCUUUUCUGCCGGAGUGUUUUCCAGCGUUUAUUCAUAUUUGUGACUAAGGAGGAGAUGGAAACCUGAGGUUAAAAAUGGAGAUUUUUAUUUUGUUGAGGAAGCAAAGAUGACUUGCCACAUCAAUUUGGUGCCUAAAUCCGUAACUGCAAGUUACAAUUAAUAAUGAAAUGUGUAAGAGAGAUAAUAUUGGUGAAUAUUUUUUUUUCUUGUUCAGUCUAUUUAGUUUUGUUUCAUAAACAUGACUUCUUCCCUCCAAAAAGCAAAAGGGUCUUGUAAUUUUCUAUAGAAUAAACAAAUGUGCCAUUUUAUCUGAAAUC
This 365-nucleotide long non-coding RNA is filed under the name Bos taurus (domestic cattle). Its description in RNAcentral is "long non-coding RNA NONBTAT015030". The record is from RNAcentral. Lineage: Eukaryota; Metazoa; Chordata; Mammalia; Artiodactyla; Bovidae.